This 374-nucleotide ribosomal RNA is filed under the name uncultured organism. RNAcentral describes it as "partial 16S ribosomal RNA". It matches the Rfam family "Bacterial small subunit ribosomal RNA", at positions 527 to 896 of the family's 1533-position model. The record is from RNAcentral.
GUAGGUGGCAAGCGUUGUCCGGAAUUAUUGGGCGUAAAGCGCGCGCAGGCGGUUCUUUAAGUCUGAUGUGAAAGCCCACGGCUCAACCGUGGAGGGUCAUUGGAAACUGGAGAACUUGAGUACAGAAGAGGAAAGCGGAAUUCCACGUGCAGCGGUGAAAUGCGUAGAGAUGUGGAGGAACACCAGUGGCGAAGGCGGCUUUCUGGUCUGUAACUGACGCUGAGGCGCGAAAGCGUGGGGAGCAAACAGGGAUUAGAUACCCUGGUAGUCCACGCCGUAAACGAUGAGUGCUAAGUGUUAGGGGGGUUUCCGCCCCCUUAGUGCUGCAGCUAACGCAUUAAGCACUCCGCCUGGGGAGUACGGCCGCAAGGCUG